UGGGAAGGGCUUUGAGGAAGUACGAAUUUAAGAGGGACAGGACAGAGAAUGAGGCAUGGAGUUUUCUGGAAUUCUCCUAUCACCUACAGUGUCUUCCCAGGCAAACUCACUGGCUUCUUCCUUCAACUACCAGUUCCUGAACUCACAUUUCAUCAAAGUGUUCUCGAGGAAAAUGGAGCUGUUUUUGAAUGAUAAUCCAGCUGAGCGUCUCACCUUCUCUACAGUAUGCAACAGUGAUCCCCAACCUUUUCUGCACCAGAGACAGGUUUCAUGGAGACAAUUUUUCCACGGAUGGGGUUGGGGGAGUGGAGGGGGAUGUUUGAUUUCAGAGUGAUUCAAAUACAUUUGCUAUGCAUUUCUGUUGCUACAUUAUAAUAUAUAAUGAAAUAAUUAUACACCUCACUAUAAUGCAGAAUCAGUAGAAGAUCUGAAAUUGUUUUCCUGUAAUUAAACAGUCUGAUCAGGGGUUGAUGGGAGACAGUAACAUCUGAAAUGUGAUGCUACUGCAUAAUCUUAUUUUGUCCUGCUAGUAGAUGUAGCUUGUCACUUACCACUUGCUGAUAAGGUUUUGAUAUGAGUAUGCAAGUGAUUGAUUUGUUAUGAUCUCUGUGCAUUCAAACCUCUCUGCUGGUGUUAAUCUAUUUGUAACACCUCUCCAGUGCUAGCAUCAUUGAGCCACCUCAAAUCAUCAAACACUAGAUUCUCUUAAGGAUUGCAAAACCUGGAUUCC
This 730-nucleotide long non-coding RNA is filed under the name Fukomys damarensis (Damara mole-rat). RNAcentral's name for it is "lncRNA (ENSFDAG00000023514.1)". Lineage: Eukaryota; Metazoa; Chordata; Mammalia; Rodentia; Bathyergidae. The record is from RNAcentral.